Molecule: ribosomal RNA, 253 nt
Filed under: uncultured bacterium
Lineage: Bacteria
Description: partial 16S ribosomal RNA
Rfam family: Bacterial small subunit ribosomal RNA
Source: RNAcentral
UACGUAGGCAGCAAGCGUUGUUCGGAGUUACUGGGCGUAAAGAGUGCGUAGGUGGUGCCCUAAGUCUGUUGUGAAAUCUCCCGGCUUAACUGGGAGGGUGCGGCGGAAACUGGGGUGCUUGAGUGUGGGAGAGGUAAGCGGAAUUCCUGGUGUAGCGGUGAAAUGCGUAGAUAUCAGGAGGAACACCGGUGGUGUAGACGGCUUACUGGACCACGACUGACACUGAGGCACGAAAGCGUGGGUAGCAAACAGG